Molecule: ribosomal RNA, 253 nt
Filed under: uncultured bacterium
Lineage: Bacteria
Description: partial 16S ribosomal RNA
Rfam family: Bacterial small subunit ribosomal RNA
Source: RNAcentral
UACGUAGGGUGCGAGCGUUGUCCGGAAUUAUUGGGCGUAAAGGGCUCGUAGGCGGUUUGUCGCGUCGGGAGUGAAAACCCAGGGCUUAACCCUGGGCUGGCUUUCGAUACGGGCAGACUAGAGGUAUGCAGGGGAGAACGGAAUUCCUGGUGUAGCGGUGAAAUGCGCAGAUAUCAGGAGGAACACCGGUGGCGAAGGCGGUUCUCUGGGCAUGAUCUGACGCUGAGGAGCGAAAGUGUGGGGAGCGAACAGG